Molecule: ribosomal RNA, 428 nt
Filed under: uncultured bacterium
Lineage: Bacteria
Description: partial 16S ribosomal RNA
Rfam family: Bacterial small subunit ribosomal RNA
Source: RNAcentral
UGGGGAAUCUUGCGCAAUGGAGGAAACUCUGACGCAGCAACGCCGCGUGAGUGAAGAAGGCCCUUGGGUCGUAAAGCUCUUUCGGCUGGGAAGAAGGGACAUGUGGCUAAUAUCCACGAGUUCUGACGGUACCAGAGUAAGAAGCACUGGCUAAUUCCGUGCCAGCAGCCGCGGUAAUACGGAAGGUGCAAGCGUUGUUCGGAGUAACUGGGCGUAAAGGGCGCGUAGGCGGAAGAGUAAGUUGUCUGUGAAAACCCCGGGCUUAACCCGGGACGUGCAGGCAAAACUGCAUUUCUUGAAUGCUUGAGAGGUUAGUGGAAUUCCAGGUGUAGGAGUGAAAUCCGUAGAUAUCUGGAGGAACACCGGAGGCGAAGGCGGCUAACUGGCAAAACAUUGACGCUGAGGCGCGAAAGCGUGGGGAGCAAACA